RNAcentral lists this ribosomal RNA (207 nucleotides) under uncultured bacterium. RNAcentral's name for it is "partial 16S ribosomal RNA". It matches the Rfam family "Bacterial small subunit ribosomal RNA", at positions 524 to 736 of the family's 1533-position model. The record is from RNAcentral.
UACGUAGGGGCAAGCGUUGUCCGGAAUCAUUGGGCGUAAAGAGCGCGUAGGCGGCCCAGUAAGUCCGCUCUGAAAGUCAGGGGCUCAACCCCUGAAUGCGGGUGGAUACUGCUGGGCUAGAGUCCGGAAGAGGCGAGUGGAAUUCCUGGUGUAGCGGUGAAAUGCGCAGAUAUCAGGAGAACACCCAUGGCAAGGCGCUCUGGACGG